UACGAAGGGGGCUAGCGUUGUUCGGAUUUACUGGGCGUAAAGCGCGUGUAGGCGGCUCGGUAAGUCUGCUCUGAAAGCCCGGGGCUCAACCCUGGGAGGCGGGUGGAUACUGCUGAGCUCGAGUCCGGAAGAGGCGAGUGGAAUUCCUGGUGUAGCGGUGAAAUGCGCAGAUAUCAGGAGGAACACCAAUGGCGAAGGCAGCUCGCUGGGACGGUACUGACGCUGAGACGCGAAAGCGUGGGGAGCAAACAGG
This 253-nucleotide ribosomal RNA is filed under the name uncultured bacterium. RNAcentral describes it as "partial 16S ribosomal RNA". It matches the Rfam family "Bacterial small subunit ribosomal RNA", at positions 524 to 776 of the family's 1533-position model. The record is from RNAcentral.